RNAcentral lists this transfer RNA (69 nucleotides) under Rhynchocyon petersi (black and rufous elephant shrew). RNAcentral's name for it is "tRNA-Ala". It matches the Rfam family "tRNA". Rfam says of the family: Transfer RNA (tRNA) molecules are approximately 80 nucleotides in length. Lineage: Eukaryota; Metazoa; Chordata; Mammalia; Macroscelidea; Macroscelididae. RNAcentral also lists the same sequence under 2 other names. The record is from RNAcentral.
GAGGGCUUAGCUUAAGUUAAAGUGCCUGCUUUGCGUGCAGUUGAUGUGAGUUAAGUCUUGCAGUCCUUA